CUGAUCCCGAUAAAAAAAUUCCAUAUGCUUUUACCUGACACAGGUUUUUAAACUCAUUGAAUUGGCAUCCCUGUUCAUGAAUUAUAAAGUAUACUAUUUAGAUGCUACGAAACAAAUGUUUGAGUUAGUGUCAUCAUACUUUUUUCAGUUCAUUGUGAUAUUCCAUUACAUUCAUUUGGCUUGGGUCGACGUCAGGAAAUAUUCAAUUAAGAUGCCGAAGAAAAGACAAAUUAAUAAAAACAAGGUGAAAAAAGGUUCGGUUCAAGAAAGUUUAGAAAAUGGCGUCUUACAAAACAGGAAACGCAGUAAAAGGGUUGCUGAUCAACUAAACAAAAGCGAUUUGCAGGAUGAGUUACAACAACUCCUACAACAAUCUGGUGUUCAGAUGGGACCAUCCGGAUUAGCAUUUGUGUCGGUUAUGCCCACAACCAGUCGGCUUGGGGAUAUUGCUAUCCAGGAUCCGCAUGUUACGCAUGACAGAGACGGAUGAUGCCAAAUGCUCGUCAGACAAUGCGUCAUGCUCUGCGUCUUUCAAAAGAACUUGUCGCAAUAAAGGAUGGACAAAAAAUUCCACAGGCUAAAUUCACUCAAACUGAUGGCAUUCCUAUAACCGUUCAAGAAUUGGUUGAUCUGAACAACCGUGCUACUACAGAUAGUAUGUUUGUAGGUUUGUUGGCUCUGCAUUUAAUUAAAAAAGAUAAAUUGAUAACGAUGAUUGUUACGAGACAACAAUCCCAUCGUUUUAUGAAUUUGAAAAAGCCAGAUGGAUCACCUCUCUAUCCAGCAGGGACGAAGACGGACCCGAACAUAUUUGAAUUUAUUUGCAACAAAGUUGCAGAACGUACAGCAAUUAGUGUCGGCCAGGAUAAUAUAAUAUUGAUUCGUAAGCGUUGGGAGGAAAAAAUCAUAAGAAGAUACCUGGCGCAGAAAAUUGCAAAUCUUAAGAAGACCGUUAUAUUGAAAACUUCUGGAACGAAGAAAAAUAACUGAACAUACACUAAGGGCGAAAUAUUAUAACCGACCAGUGAGAUUUGUUAUAGUAUAAGUUAAUGUAUGUACGAAUUAAACUAA
Malaya genurostris is the source of this 1071-nucleotide long non-coding RNA. RefSeq lists it as uncharacterized. The transcript is spliced from 5 exons. The record is from RefSeq and is a predicted model, not a curated record. Lineage: Eukaryota; Metazoa; Arthropoda; Insecta; Diptera; Culicidae.